GAACAUAAAAAUGCGCGCGCCUUAUGUUGAUUUGUCCACAAAAUCAAUUAACAGUCCUAGGCGGAGUGGGCACGCUCGACCUGGUUUGACUGUAAGAGAUUUCAAAUCAAAACUUGGUGAACAAUGACUGCUCUUACUAUCCCACUAUCCCAUAGCCCGUCUGUUUGGUUUCUUCCCGCUUUUUAGCUGAACACCUAAAGUGGAUUCAACCUUUGACGAAGUACUUUUGUAAACAACAACAAAGGCUCUUGUGUCAAAAUUGUGGAGAAUAGAGAUCGCAGUUGGAAUCGCAGUGCACUCGAUAACUAGCUUGAAAGGGAAGGAAAAGGAUAUUAAAAAUGCAAACAAAAUAUACAAGUAGACGGGCCUGAACUGUUGAUGCGCCGCCCAGAAGUUUGUCGCUAAGCAACCAGUACACUUGAUGAUCCAUUAACGUCAUAACAUUAUCAGCCAAUCCGAAGCCUUCCUGGCCAUUGUUCCCGCGUUGGGACUAUUCCCAGAUGACCGAGUGUAAUUAGAAUGGUACAACAACCAUUCCUUAGCCCAACCUGAUUUCGUUAAUUGAGAAGCCCCCGCAACAACGGACGGGUCCUACAUUUUUCGCUCCAGAAUAUUAAAGCUGUGUUUCGGGCAUAAUCAGACUACAAACUCCAUUGUAGCCCCUUUGUUUGGCCUGUGAAAGAGUUGGGACUUUGGGACAACGCAGAAGGCUAGAAAUAGCUCUGGGUCUGCUGAUAGUAGUCUUUUCCAGUACAUGUAAUGCUUCAAACACAACGAGGCGUUUCCAUGUUUCUUGGUCCAGCAAUGAGCUCUUGGAUAAACUCCAUGUCCUUGUCUGACAGGCCAUACCUCCUGAAUUCUUCUGAUAGCUUGUUAUCAUCCACCAGUCACAGCCUGGUCUUGCGGCAGGUAUGAAUCCAGCAUCAAACAUAUGAGAGAAUGGUCCAUGACCUGGAAUUAACAUGUCUUUUAAUCUUUGUGUCAAAAUUAGUAAGGAGACUUAUUUUUUAUCCAAGGAAAAAUUGUAAGAUUAAAAUCGUAACACAAGCACAACUUCACUUGCAGUUUGGUAUGAACUAUACUGUAGAAAUGGAUGAAAUUUAGUACUUAACAGUCAUAAGUUUAUUCUCAAGGUGUUUAUUGCAUAUAGGUGCAAUAAUGUGUAUAAAAAUAAUAGUACUGAUGUUAUUAAUAUAUCACACUCACCCAGAUCAUGGCAAAGACCAGCAAUCUUCACACAUAGAACAUCAACAUCUGUUAUACCCAGCCCUGGUUGUCGUUUUCUAAU
Molecule: long non-coding RNA, 1288 nt
Organism: Nematostella vectensis (starlet sea anemone)
Lineage: Eukaryota; Metazoa; Cnidaria; Anthozoa; Actiniaria; Edwardsiidae
Exons: 6
Source: RefSeq, a predicted model, not a curated record